This 365-nucleotide ribosomal RNA is filed under the name Bunopus tuberculatus. RNAcentral describes it as "SSU rRNA". It matches the Rfam family "Eukaryotic small subunit ribosomal RNA", at positions 62 to 418 of the family's 1831-position model. The record is from RNAcentral. Lineage: Eukaryota; Metazoa; Chordata; Lepidosauria; Squamata; Gekkonidae.
AGUACACACGGGCGGUACAGUGAAACUGCGAAUGGCUCAUUAAAUCAGUUAUGGUUCCUUUGGUCGCUCCUCUCCCGCUCCUUGGAUAACUGUGGUAAUUCUAGAGCUAAUACAUGCCGACGAGCGCCGACCUCCGGGGACGCGUGCAUUUAUCAGACCAAAACCAACCCGGGCCCGCCCGGCAGCUUUGGUGACUCUAGAUAACCUCGAGCCGAUCGCACGCCCCCGCGGCGGCGACGACCCAUUCGAAUGUCUGCCCUAUCAACUUUCGAUGGUACUGUCUGUGCCUACCAUGGUGACCACGGGUGACGGGGAAUCAGGGUUCGAUUCCGGAGAGGGAGCCUGAGAAACGGCUACCACAUCCA